Small nuclear RNA from Callithrix jacchus (white-tufted-ear marmoset), 141 nucleotides. Its record names the gene U4. It matches the Rfam family "U4 spliceosomal RNA". Rfam says of the family: U4 small nuclear RNA (U4 snRNA) is a component of the major U2-dependent spliceosome. The record is from Ensembl. NCBI's taxonomy places the organism in Eukaryota, Metazoa, Chordata, Mammalia, Primates, Cebidae.
AACUUUGUGCACUGGCAGUAUCAUAGCCAAUAAGGUUUAUCUGAGGCACAAUUAUUGCUAAUUGAAAAUGUUUCCCAAUACUCUGCCAUGACGACUUGAAGUAUAGUUGACAUUGGCAAUUUUUGACAGUCUCUAUGGAGA